This 460-nucleotide ribosomal RNA is filed under the name Sphaerospira coxi. RNAcentral's name for it is "partial 12S ribosomal RNA". Lineage: Eukaryota; Metazoa; Mollusca; Gastropoda; Stylommatophora; Camaenidae. The record is from RNAcentral.
UAAGRGGAAUUWACCGCCAUUUUAACGCCCCGGCAGCAUAACGCGUGGUGAAAUAUUUCRAUAAYUACCACUACCUGUGCGUCAAACUAGCGAGACAUUACUGCUAAAACAGGGGAUUAGAGACCCCUUUAUACAAAUGCUCACAACAUCUUGCGGAGGACUACAACUAUCUGAGUUAAAACUUAAGCAACAUGGCGGUAAUUUUAAUUUAGGGGRACUUACUGAAUCAUUGAUAACCACCAAGGUCAACUAACUACACAAAAAUCUUGUAUGCCGUCGUCGUCAGGUAGCACUAAAGGUUCUACCUUGAUAGUACUCACUCAAAAGACAGAUCAAGGUGCAGACAAUUAUGUAGUUUUAGCGAGUUACAGUUUUUCCUAUCAACGAAUAUAUAAAUGUGUAACCUAUAUUGAAGACGGACUUAACAGUAAUAAACAUUAACUUUACYYUAUGAAAUUAU